This 253-nucleotide ribosomal RNA is filed under the name uncultured bacterium. Its description in RNAcentral is "partial 16S ribosomal RNA". It matches the Rfam family "Bacterial small subunit ribosomal RNA", at positions 99 to 354 of the family's 1533-position model. The record is from RNAcentral.
CGGACGGGUGAGUAACGCGUGGAAAACCUGCCGUAUACUGGGGGAUAACACUUAGAAAUAGGUGCUAAUACCGCAUAAGCGCACAGCUUCGCAUGAAGCGGUGUGAAAACUCUGGUGGUAUACGAUGGUUCCGCGUCUGAUUAGCUAGUUGGUGGGGUAAUGGCCUACCAAGGCAACGAUCAGUAGCCGGCCUGAGAGGGUGAACGGCCACAUUGGACUGAGACACGGCCCAAACUCCUACGGGAGGCAGCAG